CAGUCGCCGCGGUAAUACGUAGGUCCCGAGCGUUGUCCGGAUUUAUUGGGCGUAAGGCGAGCGCAGGCGGUUAGAUAAGUCUGAAGUUAAAGGCUGUGGCUUAACCAUAGUACGCUUUGGAAACUGUUUAACUUGAGUGCAGAAGGGGAGAGUGGAACUCCAUGUGUAGCGGUGAAAUGCGUAGAUAUAUGGAGGAACACCGGUGGCGAAAGCGGCUCUCUGGUCUGUAACUGACGCUGAGGCUCGAAAGCGUGGGGAGCGAACAGGAUUAGAUACCCCGGUAGUCCCUAUCUCUUAUACA
This 301-nucleotide ribosomal RNA is filed under the name uncultured bacterium. RNAcentral's name for it is "partial 16S ribosomal RNA". It matches the Rfam family "Bacterial small subunit ribosomal RNA", at positions 509 to 808 of the family's 1533-position model. The record is from RNAcentral.